This 458-nucleotide ribosomal RNA is filed under the name Salmonella enterica subsp. enterica. RNAcentral describes it as "bacterial SSU rRNA". It matches the Rfam family "Bacterial small subunit ribosomal RNA", at positions 1087 to 1533 of the family's 1533-position model. RNAcentral also lists the same sequence under 1 other name. The record is from RNAcentral. Lineage: Bacteria; Pseudomonadati; Pseudomonadota; Gammaproteobacteria; Enterobacterales; Enterobacteriaceae.
CCGCAACGAGCGCAACCCUUAUCCUUUGUUGCCAGCGAUUAGGUCGGGAACUCAAAGGAGACUGCCAGUGAUAAACUGGAGGAAGGUGGGGAUGACGUCAAGUCAUCAUGGCCCUUACGACCAGGGCUACACACGUGCUACAAUGGCGCAUACAAAGAGAAGCGACCUCGCGAGAGCAAGCGGACCUCAUAAAGUGCGUCGUAGUCCGGAUUGGAGUCUGCAACUCGACUCCAUGAAGUCGGAAUCGCUAGUAAUCGUGGAUCAGAAUGCCACGGUGAAUACGUUCCCGGGCCUUGUACACACCGCCCGUCACACCAUGGGAGUGGGUUGCAAAAGAAGUAGGUAGCUUAACCUUCGGGAGGGCGCUUACCACUUUGUGAUUCAUGACUGGGGUGAAGUCGUAACAAGGUAACCGUAGGGGAACCUGCGGUUGGAUCACCUCCUUACCUUAAAGAAGC